CACACUGUAAACGAUGGAUACUAGGUGUGGGGGGUCUGACCCCUUCCGUGCCGGAGUUAACACAAUAAGUAUCCCACCUGGGGAGUACGAUCGCAAGAUUGAAACUCAAAGGAAUUGACGGGGACCCGCACAAGCAGUGGAGUAUGUUGUUUAAUUCGACGCAACGCGAAGAACCUUACCAGGGUUUGACAUCUCAGGAAUCUCGUAGAAAUAUGGGAGUGCCCUUCGGGGAGCCUGAAGACAGGUGG
RNAcentral lists this ribosomal RNA (248 nucleotides) under uncultured bacterium. Its description in RNAcentral is "partial 16S ribosomal RNA". It matches the Rfam family "Bacterial small subunit ribosomal RNA", at positions 796 to 1041 of the family's 1533-position model. The record is from RNAcentral.